This 253-nucleotide ribosomal RNA is filed under the name uncultured bacterium. RNAcentral's name for it is "partial 16S ribosomal RNA". It matches the Rfam family "Bacterial small subunit ribosomal RNA", at positions 524 to 776 of the family's 1533-position model. The record is from RNAcentral.
UACGAAGGGGGCUAGCGUUGCUCGGAAUCACUGGGCGUAAAGCGCACGUAGGCGGAUUCGUAAGUCAGGGGUGAAAUCCCGGGGCUCAACCUCGGAACUGCCUUUGAUACUGCGGGUCUUGAGUCCGAUAGAGGUGGGUGGAAUUCCUAGUGUAGAGGUGAAAUUCGUAGAUAUUAGGAAGAACACCGGUGGCGAAGGCGGCCCACUGGAUCGGUACUGACGCUGAGGUGCGAAAGCGUGGGGAGCAAACAGG